This 72-nucleotide transfer RNA is filed under the name Rhizoprionodon acutus (milk shark). RNAcentral describes it as "tRNA-Gln". It matches the Rfam family "tRNA". Rfam says of the family: Transfer RNA (tRNA) molecules are approximately 80 nucleotides in length. Their secondary structure includes four short double-helical elements and three loops (D, anti-codon, and T loops). The record is from RNAcentral. RNAcentral also lists the same sequence under 2 other names. Lineage: Eukaryota; Metazoa; Chordata; Chondrichthyes; Carcharhiniformes; Carcharhinidae.
UAGGGUAUGGUGUAAUAGGAAACACGGAGAGUUUUGAUUUCUCAAAUACAGGUUCAAGUCCUGUUUUUCUAG